UACGUAGGGGGCGAGCGUUGUCCGGAUUCAUUGGGCGUAAAGAGCUCGUAGGCGGUCUGUCGCGUCGGCUGUGAAAACCCGAGGCUCAACCUCGGGCCUGCAGUCGAUACGGGCAAACUAGAGUACUGCAGGGGAGACUGGAAUUCCUGGUGUAGCGGUGAAAUGCGCAGAUAUCAGGAGGAACACCGGUGGCGAAGGCGGGUCUCUGGGCAGUAACUGACGCUGAGGAGCGAAAGCGUGGGGAGCGAACAGG
Molecule: ribosomal RNA, 253 nt
Filed under: uncultured bacterium
Lineage: Bacteria
Description: partial 16S ribosomal RNA
Rfam family: Bacterial small subunit ribosomal RNA
Source: RNAcentral